Mycena galericulata is the source of this 98-nucleotide non-coding RNA. NCBI's taxonomy places the organism in Eukaryota, Fungi, Basidiomycota, Agaricomycetes, Agaricales, Mycenaceae. The record is from the annotation of a GenBank genome assembly.
GUCUUCGUGGAGUAAAAAGGCAACUCGUUCUCAUACCAUAUUCGUUCCGCAGUCUGAAAUAUGCGAGAAAGUUGGUGGUUCGAAUCCACCCGAGGAUG